GGCAGGAAAGUGCAUGGUGCACGUUGGGUUCUAAUGCUUGGCAAAGACUGUGAUCUAAUCUGCAUCCAAUAUCCCUUGUUCAACUCGGGGUCUUGCCG
Mycena albidolilacea is the source of this 98-nucleotide non-coding RNA. Lineage: Eukaryota; Fungi; Basidiomycota; Agaricomycetes; Agaricales; Mycenaceae. The record is from the annotation of a GenBank genome assembly.